RNAcentral lists this ribosomal RNA (481 nucleotides) under uncultured Cytophagales bacterium. Its description in RNAcentral is "bacterial SSU rRNA". It matches the Rfam family "Bacterial small subunit ribosomal RNA", at positions 28 to 505 of the family's 1533-position model. The record is from RNAcentral. Lineage: Bacteria; Pseudomonadati; Bacteroidota; Sphingobacteriia; Sphingobacteriales.
GAUGAACGCUAGCGGCAGGCUUUAUACAUGCAAGUCGAGGGGCAGCAGCACACUUCGGUGUGGCUGGCGACCGGCGAACGGGUGCGUAACACGUAUGCAAUCUACCUUGUACUGGGGAAUAGCUUUCAGAAAUGAGAAUUAAUACCCCAUACGCUCAAGGGUUCACAUGAACCCUUGAGGAAAGCUUUGGCGGUAUAAGAUGAGCAUGCGGCUCAUUAGCUUGUUGGUGAGGUAAAGGCUCACCAAGGCUACGAUGAGUAGGGGUUCUGAGAGGAAGACCCCCCACACUGGCACUGAGAUACGGACCAGACUCCUACGGGAGGCAGCAGUAGGGAAUAUUGGUCAAUGGGCGAAAGCCUGAACCAGCCAUGCCGCGUGCAGGAUGAAGGUCCUCUGGAUCGUAAACUGCUUUUUUACAGGAACAAUAAGCCUUUGCGAAGGCCCAUGAGCGUACUGUACGAAUAAGCACCGGCUAACUCCG